UAUAAGAUGCCUGAAUAUAAAGGAUAAUUUUGAUAGAAUUAAUCAUGUGAGAAAUCACUCUUAUAA
This 66-nucleotide transfer RNA is filed under the name Psylliodes cupreatus. RNAcentral's name for it is "tRNA-Ile". RNAcentral also lists the same sequence under 1 other name. The record is from RNAcentral. Lineage: Eukaryota; Metazoa; Arthropoda; Insecta; Coleoptera; Chrysomelidae.